GACUUAAUGUCACGGUACCCAAUUUUCUGCCCC
RNAcentral lists this unclassified non-coding RNA (33 nucleotides) under Candidatus Scalindua brodae. RNAcentral describes it as "RNA (33-MER) from Candidatus Scalindua brodae (PDB 8GU6, chain C)". Lineage: Bacteria; Pseudomonadati; Planctomycetota; Candidatus Brocadiia; Candidatus Brocadiales; Candidatus Scalinduaceae. The record is from RNAcentral.